GAUGAACGCUGGCGGCGUGCCUAAUACAUGCAAGUCGAGCGAACGGACGAGAAGCUUGCUUCUCUGAUGUUAGCGGCGGACGGGUGAGUAACACGUGGAUAACCUACCUAUAAGACUGGGAUAACUUCGGGAAACCGGAGCUAAUACCGGAUAAUAUUUUGAACCGCAUGGUUCAAAAGUGAAAGACGGUCUUGCUGUCACUUAUAGAUGGAUCCGCGCUGCAUUAGCUAGUUGGUAAGGUAACGGCUUACCAAGGCAACGACGCAUAGCCGACCUGAGAGGGUGAUCGGCCACACUGGAACUGAGACACGGUCCAGACUCCUACGGGAGGCAGCAGUAGGGAAUCUUCCGCAAUGGGCGAAAGCCUGACGGAGCAACGCCGCGUGAGUGAUGAAGGUCUUCGGAUCGUAAAACUCUGUUAUUAGGGAAGAACAUAUGUGUAAGUAACUGUGCACAUCUUGACGGUACCUAAUCAGAAAGCCACGGCUAACUACGUGCCAGCAGCCGCGGUAAUACGUAGGUGGCAAGCGUUAUCCGGAAUUAUUGGGCGUAAAGCGCGCGUAGGCGGUUUUUUAAGUCUGAUGUGAAAGCCCACGGCUCAACCGUGGAGGGUCAUUGGAAACUGGAAAACUUGAGUGCAGAAGAGGAAAGUGGAAUUCCAUGUGUAGCGGUGAAAUGCGCAGAGAUAUGGAGGAACACCAGUGGCGAAGGCGACUUUCUGGUCUGUAACUGACGCUGAUGUGCGAAAGCGUGGGGAUCAAACAGGAUUAGAUACCCUGGUAGUCCACGCCGUAAACGAUGAGUGCUAAGUGUUAGGGGGUUUCCGCCCCUUAGUGCUGCAGCUAACGCAUUAAGCACUCCGCCUGGGGAGUACGACCGCAAGGUUGAAACUCAAAGGAAUUGACGGGGACCCGCACAAGCGGUGGAGCAUGUGGUUUAAUUCGAAGCAACGCGAAGAACCUUACCAAAUCUUGACAUCCUUUGACAACUCUAGAGAUAGAGCCUUCCCCUUCGGGGGACAAAGUGACAGGUGGUGCAUGGUUGUCGUCAGCUCGUGUCGUGAGAUGUUGGGUUAAGUCCCGCAACGAGCGCAACCCUUAAGCUUAGUUGCCAUCAUUAAGUUGGGCACUCUAAGUUGACUGCCGGUGACAAACCGGAGGAAGGUGGGGAUGACGUCAAAUCAUCAUGCCCCUUAUGAUUUGGGCUACACACGUGCUACAAUGGACAAUACAAAGGGCAGCGAAACCGCGAGGUCAAGCAAAUCCCAUAAAGUUGUUCUCAGUUCGGAUUGUAGUCUGCAACUCGACUACAUGAAGCUGGAAUCGCUAGUAAUCGUAGAUCAGCAUGCUACGGUGAAUACGUUCCCGGGUCU
Molecule: ribosomal RNA, 1372 nt
Filed under: uncultured bacterium
Lineage: Bacteria
Description: bacterial SSU rRNA
Rfam family: Bacterial small subunit ribosomal RNA
Source: RNAcentral